RNAcentral lists this ribosomal RNA (393 nucleotides) under uncultured bacterium. RNAcentral's name for it is "partial 16S ribosomal RNA". It matches the Rfam family "Bacterial small subunit ribosomal RNA", at positions 523 to 918 of the family's 1533-position model. The record is from RNAcentral.
AUACGGAGGAUGCGAGCGUUAUCCGGAUUUAUUGGGUUUAAAGGGAGCGUAGGUGGGAUAUUAAGUCAGCUGUGAAAGUUUGGGGCUCAACCUUAAAAUUGCAGUUGAUACUGGUUUCCUUGAGUACGGUAUAGGUGGGCGGAAUUCGUGGUGUUGCGGUGAAAUGCUUAGAUAUAACGAAGAACUCCGAUCGCGAAGGCAGCUCACCGGGCCGGAACUGACACUGAUGCUCGAAAGUGCGGGUAUCAAACAGGAUUAGAUACCCUGGUAGUCCGCACAGUAAACGAUGAAUACUCGCUGUUUGCGAUACACGGUAAGCGGCCAAGCGAAAGCGUUAAGUAUUCCACCUGGGGAGUACGCCGGCAACGGUGAAACUCAAAGGAAUUGGCGGGG